Molecule: transfer RNA, 74 nt
Filed under: Pseudomonadota bacterium
Lineage: Bacteria; Pseudomonadati; Pseudomonadota
Also listed under: 1 other name
Description: tRNA-Pro
Rfam family: tRNA
About the family: Transfer RNA (tRNA) molecules are approximately 80 nucleotides in length.
Source: RNAcentral
CGGGGCGUGGCGCAGCCCGGCAGCGCGCGUGAAUUGGGAUCACGAGGUCAGCGGUUCAAGUCCGCUCGCCCCGA